This 1170-nucleotide long non-coding RNA is filed under the name Bos indicus x Bos taurus (hybrid cattle). RNAcentral describes it as "lncRNA (ENSBIXG00005000459.1)". Lineage: Eukaryota; Metazoa; Chordata; Mammalia; Artiodactyla; Bovidae. The record is from RNAcentral.
GCAAUUGCUUUUUGGUAGGGAAUUAAAAACAUUAGAAAGGUACACGAGCCCUAUGGAGUAGAAGGUACUGGGCAGUAUGGAUGGGAGGGAAAGCUACUCUGGAAAGAGGAAAAGUCCCAGGACUGAGGAGCAGAAGCAGAAAGCCUGGAUAGUUGCCAGUUUGGGCGGGGAAGGAAGUGGCAGAAGGGGGAGCAAGGCCAGAGGGGAGCCUGGAAAGACCAGGAAUGACUUGCAUUCUUGUGAUCACGAAGAUUCAGAGCACGCUCGGCAGUCGUUGGGAUCUGCUGCUUCUCUGCACAUCAGCACCAGCAUCGAGUGGUCAGGAUUCUCUGCACACCCACGUUCAAGAUGUGUUACAAAGAGCAUUUGUGCCCAGCCUCCUAAUAGCUCAUCGCCCCCAGCAUCUCAACCACCUGUCCGCACUUUCCGAGAAUCAGCCUCCCCAUCUGUGAAUCUAGUUACGGCCGCCGGGCUCCUUGGUGAUGCUGUGUCCUCUGUGCCUCUUUGUGGUCUAAAGAUGGAGCCCCAAGGAGCCAAGAAAGUCAAGGGCAUCCCUGUGAAUUUGGCAACAGAACAAAGAGAUGUAAGUUUAUACUCUUUCUUUCUGGGAGCAGCAGAUAACAGCCCCUUCCUGCCCUGGGGACUGGGAACAGAGCGAGAUAAGAGAUAAGCCCUGAAAUCAACACCCAGAGUGGGGCCUAGGUGAGGUGGGAGGGGCCUGACAGACUUGGAGACCUCCCCAAGGUCCACAUGGCCUUUCUGAGUUUCCCUGUGACUGGCCCACAUCCUAAAACUAAAUUCGUCUUGUUUACCAAAGCUGGUCAGUUCUGUCAUCUGAAAGUCAGUACAAUAGUUAAUAUCUUUACAUUGUCUUUAAUAACUCGUCAUUUCCUUUUCUGAAAAGAAGCACAUACCCUUGGGCUUCCCAGGGGGCGCUAGUGGUGAAGAACCCGCCUGCCAAUGCAGGAGACACAGAAGACAGGGGUUUGAUCCCUGGAUCGGGAAGAUCCCCUGGAGGAGGGCAUGGCAACCCUCUCCAGUAUUCUUGCCUGGAGAAUCCCACAGACAGAGGAGCCUGGCGGGCCACGGUCUGUGAGGUUGCAGAGUCAGACACAACUGAAGCAACUAGCACACAGGCAGGCACGCACACUUGCUUAGGAAACUUUUCCA